Molecule: ribosomal RNA, 823 nt
Filed under: uncultured bacterium
Lineage: Bacteria
Description: bacterial SSU rRNA
Rfam family: Bacterial small subunit ribosomal RNA
Source: RNAcentral
CAUGCAAGUCGAGGGGAAACGACAUCGAAAGCUUGCUUUUGAUGGGCGUCGACCGGCGCACGGGUGAGUAACGCGUAUCCAACCUGCCCAUCACUUGGGGAUAACCUUGCGAAAGUAAGACUAAUACCCAAUGACGUCUCUAGAAGACAUCUGAAAGAGAUUAAAGAUUUAUCGGUGAUGGAUGGGGGUGCGUCUGAUUAGCUUGUUGGCGGGGUAACGGCCCACCAAGGCGACGAUCAGUAGGGGUUCUGAGAGGAAGGUCCCCCACAUUGGAACUGAGACACGGUCCAAACUCCUACGGGAGGCAGCAGUGAGGAAUAUUGGUCAAUGGACGAGAGUCUGAACCAGCCAAGUAGCGUGCAGGAUGACGGCCCUAUGGGUUGUAAACUGCUUUUAUAAGGGAAUAAAGUUAGUCUCGUGAGACUUUUUGCAUGUACCUUAUGAAUAAGGACCGGCUAAUUCCGUGCCAGCAGCCGCGGUAAUACGGAAGGUCCGGGCGUUAUCCGGAUUUAUUGGGUUUAAAGGGAGCGUAGGCCGGAGAUUAAGCGUGUUGUGAAAUGUAGACGCUCAACGUCUGCACUGCAGCGCGAACUGGUUUCCUUGAGUACGCACAAAGUGGGCGGAAUUCGUGGUGUAGCGGUGAAAUGCUUAGAUAUCACGAAGAACUCCGAUUGCGAAGGCAGCUCACUGGAGCGCAACUGACGCUGAAGCUCGAAAGUGCGGGUAUCGAACAGGAUUAGAUACCCUGGUAGUCCGCACGGUAAACGAUGGAUGCCCGCUGUUGGUCUGAAUAGGUCAGCGGCCAAGCGAAAGCAUUAAGCAU